Molecule: ribosomal RNA, 370 nt
Filed under: uncultured cyanobacterium
Lineage: Bacteria; Bacillati; Cyanobacteriota
Description: bacterial SSU rRNA
Rfam family: Bacterial small subunit ribosomal RNA
Source: RNAcentral
CGAAAGCCUGACGGAGCAAGACCGCGUGGGGGAUGAAGGUUUGUGGAUUGUAAACCCCUUUUGACAGGGAAGAAGUUCUGACGGUACCUGUCGAAUCAGCCUCGGCUAACUCCGUGCCAGCAGCCGCGGUAAUACGGAGGAGGCAAGCGUUAUCCGGAAUUAUUGGGCGUAAAGCGUCCGUAGGUGGUUCAGUAAGUCUGCUGUUAAAGCGCGGGGCUUAACUCCGUAUAGGCAGUGGAAACUACUGGACUAGAGUGUGGUAGGGGUAGAGGGAAUUCCCAGUGUAGCGGUGAAAUGCGUAGAUAUUGGGAAGAACACCGGUGGCGAAGGCGCUCUACUGGGCCAUAACUGACACUGAUGGACGAAAGCU